GACCAUUGUGAUCAAACCAGUUUUCAGCUCAAAAUUGUUGACGUUGACUGGUGGGGGUUUCUGAUAGAUAUACUACGGUAUAAAUGCCUCAUUAAUCGGAGGCUGCUUCUGCUCCUUUAUCUUUUUCUGCGCAUCCAAUAAUUGCUGCAGCUGCUCCUAUAGAGCAUGAAUCUGUUCAGCAGUAGCCAUCGUAUCUAACGCACUACACAGAAAAUUCCAAAAGUAGAAUCAGACCCACAAGAAAAAUAAAAUAAAAAUAAAAAAUAAUUAAAAAAAAUAGUAAACGCCUGAAUUACUGCUAAGUCCUAUAAGAAAUAUUAAAGUAAUCUCUACACAGUCCCCGGCAACGGCGCCAAAAAGUUGAUCACUAAUUUCUUAGCAACAAAAUACCGCAACUAACACGGUGUAACUGUAGCAUUUAUAGCAAUCGAGUAUCGUAUCC
This 442-nucleotide long non-coding RNA is filed under the name Salvia miltiorrhiza (redroot sage). Its description in RNAcentral is "long non-coding RNA (SMIL_LNC001361)". The record is from RNAcentral. Lineage: Eukaryota; Viridiplantae; Streptophyta; Magnoliopsida; Lamiales; Lamiaceae.